AUAAAAUAAUUAUGUUUUUUUAUUUUAAUGUAAAUUUAUUUUACAUAUAAAUUUUUGUAUAUAAUUUUAAUUAUUUUAAUAAUAAUUAAUUAAUUUUGUAGUAAUUAAUAUUAAAAAUUUAAGAAAUUAAGAUUUAGUAAUAUUAAAAUUAAUAACUAAUUUUGUGCCAGCAGUUGCGGUUAAACAAAAAUUAAAUUAAAAUAUUUCAGUUUAUAAUAAAUAAUAUUUAAUAUUAAAAUAAAUAUUAAAUUAUUAAGUGAAAUUUUAAUUUAAUUAAAUUUUAUUUUUAAAUUAUGAUUUAGUAAAUUUUAUUUAUAAACUAGGAUUAGAUACCCUAUUAUUAAAAAUUUAAUUUAUAAUACUAAAAUAGUAAGUAAUAAUUUAUUGAAACUUAAAUAAUAUGGCGGUAUUUUAGUUCAUUUAGAGGAAUCUGUCUAAUAAUUGAUAAUCCACGAAUAAAUUUACUUAAUUUAUUAUUUUGUAUAUCAUUGUUAAAAAAAUAUUUUAUAAUAAAAAUAAUAUUUAAAAAUUUAAAAUAAAAAUUAAAUCAGAUCAAGAUGCAGAUUAUAAUUAAGUUAGAGAUGGAUUACAAUAAAAAUAUUUAAAUGAAAAUAAUUUUUGUAAAAUAUAAUUGAAGGUGGAUUUAAAUGUAAUUUUAAUUAAUUUAUUAGAAUGAUUAAAAAUUAAAAUAUGUACAUAUUGCCCGUCACUUUCAUUUAAAAAUUGAAAUAAGUCGUAACAAAGUAGAGGUACUGGAAAGUGUUUCUAGAAUGA
This 774-nucleotide non-coding RNA is filed under the name Cethosia biblis. Lineage: Eukaryota; Metazoa; Arthropoda; Insecta; Lepidoptera; Nymphalidae. The record is from RNAcentral.